CGCCAGUUCUCUCUGUAUAUUUUCUCCGCCUCCUCCUCCACAGAGACAGACCUCCUCGCUCGAGUGUCAAUGACGAAGAACGACGCGUCCUUGGGAUCAGUGGGUGAGUUCUUGAAGCUGUGCCAGCAAUCUAGCGAGCCUUCGAUGAUAGACAUCUCCAGAGAUCAGAGCCAAACGCGCACAUGAGGCUCUACUAUGAUCUCCUUACCAACGGAAUUGGAAUCAGGUACUACACGACGCGGCUGUGGAUUGGGACACCGCCUGAGAUGUUCGCUCUGAUUGUGGAUACGGGGAGUAGAGAAUUAAGGUCACCUGAUUGGGACACCGCCACCUCAAAUCUGGCAGCUGCGGCGGAGAAGCCGCUGCCAAUACCAGCUGCAGCCUAUUUGAUGUGUACGCAAACAAGGCCUUGGACAUGAUUAAGGGUUUUUUUAUUUGGGUUUGUGAUUGGUGGUUUUUGCUGGUAUUUUUGCUUCUUUGGCGGCUUUGAUGUUCAAUUGCAUUAAGAAGGACGACAUUGACUAGUCUCCUUCCGAAGAGGGUGAGUGGAGGUGAGUAAUUUGAUUCCAGCUCAAGAUAUAUCAUCAAGAAUUCAGUUUAAAUUUGAUUCAGUAUUGAAAUAAUUGUUUUCAUGAUUUUGAUUUGUGAAUGCCACUGGUGUUGUAAAUGUUGGGACUCGGUAGAUGACCUAACCUUAACUCAGGCCAUCAAUUAAUGAUAUGAACAUUUAGAUGAUUCUAUACUUCAGCAAUUGAAUAUCAGUGUAAACUGAA
Long non-coding RNA from Rosa chinensis, 773 nucleotides. RefSeq lists it as uncharacterized. The transcript is spliced from 2 exons. Lineage: Eukaryota; Viridiplantae; Streptophyta; Magnoliopsida; Rosales; Rosaceae. The record is from RefSeq and is a predicted model, not a curated record.